CCUACGGGUGGCAGCAGUGAGGAAUAUUGGUCAAUGGGCGGGAGCCUGAACCAGCCAAGUCGCGUGAGGGAAGACGGUCCUACGGAUUGUAAACCUCUUUUGCCGGGGAACAACGGGGUCCUUGCGAGGGCCCACUGAGAGUACCCGGAGAAAAAGCAUCGGCUAACUCCGUGCCAGCAGCCGCGGUAAUACGGAGGAUGCGAGCGUUAUCCGGUUUUAUUGGGUUAAAAGGGUGCGCAGGCGGAAGAUCAAGUCAGCGGUAAAAUUGAGAGGCUCAACCUCUUCGAGCCGUUGAAACUGGUGGUCUUGAGUGAGCGAGAAGUAUGCGGAAUGCGUGGUGUAGCGGUGAAAUGCAUAGAUAUCACGCAGAACUCCGAUUGCGAAGGCAGCAUACCGGCGCUCAACUGACGCUCAUGCACGAAAGUGUGGGUAUCGAACAGGAUUAGAUACCCCUGUAGUC
RNAcentral lists this ribosomal RNA (460 nucleotides) under uncultured bacterium. Its description in RNAcentral is "partial 16S ribosomal RNA". It matches the Rfam family "Bacterial small subunit ribosomal RNA", at positions 338 to 795 of the family's 1533-position model. The record is from RNAcentral.